This 253-nucleotide ribosomal RNA is filed under the name uncultured bacterium. Its description in RNAcentral is "partial 16S ribosomal RNA". It matches the Rfam family "Bacterial small subunit ribosomal RNA", at positions 524 to 776 of the family's 1533-position model. The record is from RNAcentral.
UACGGGGGGAGCAAACGUUGUUCGGAAUCACUGGGCGUAAAGCGCACGUAGGCGGACUCUUAAGUCGGUGGUGAAAUCCUGGAGCUCAACUCCAGAACUGCCUUCGAUACUGAGAGUCUCGAGUCCGAGAGAGGUGAGUGGAACUGCGAGUGUAGAGGUGAAAUUCGUAGAUAUUCGCAAGAACACCAGUGGCGAAGGCGGCUCACUGGCUCGGUACUGACGCUGAGGUGCGAAAGCGUGGGGAGCAAACAGG